This 429-nucleotide ribosomal RNA is filed under the name Chloroflexota bacterium. RNAcentral's name for it is "Chloroflexi bacterium partial 16S ribosomal RNA". It matches the Rfam family "Bacterial small subunit ribosomal RNA", at positions 355 to 776 of the family's 1533-position model. The record is from RNAcentral. Lineage: Bacteria; Bacillati; Chloroflexota. RNAcentral also lists the same sequence under 1 other name.
UAGGGAAUCUUCGGCAAUGGACGAAAGUCUGACCGAGCAACGCCGCGUGAGUGAAGAAGGUUUUCGGAUCGUAAAACUCUGUUGUUAGAGAAGAACAAGGACGUUAGUAACUGAACGUCCCCUGACGGUAUCUAACCAGAAAGCCACGGCUAACUACGUGCCAGCAGCCGCGGUAAUACGUAGGUGGCAAGCGUUGUCCGGAUUUAUUGGGCGUAAAGCGAGCGCAGGCGGUUUCUUAAGUCUGAUGUGAAAGCCCCCGGCUCAACCGGGGAGGGUCAUUGAAAACUGGGAGACUUGAGUGCAGAAGAGGAGAGUGGAAUUCCAUGUGUAGCGGUGAAAUGCGUAGAUAUAUGGAGGAACACCAGUGGCGAAGGCGGCUCUCUGGUCUGUAACUGACGCUGAGGCUCGAAAGCGUGGGGAGCAAACAGG